Transfer RNA from Puccinia graminis f. sp. tritici, 87 nucleotides. It matches the Rfam family "tRNA". From Rfam's summary of the family: Transfer RNA (tRNA) molecules are approximately 80 nucleotides in length. The record is from Rfam. Lineage: Eukaryota; Fungi; Basidiomycota; Pucciniomycetes; Pucciniales; Pucciniaceae.
GCCUCUAUAGCUCAGUGGUAGAGCGUUCCACUCGUACUUAUCAACAAGAUCAUGGAAAGGUCUGGUGUUCAAUCCACCAUUGAGGCA